GGGAGCUCGAAGUGUAAACAAAGCAGUCGACGUCGAGGAACCACACAGGAAACUCCACGCGAACACCUCUUCCUCUGCGUGUUAUCUAUGACGAGAGAACCUCAUGGCUGCGAAGCGUCCGUCGUCAGGGGGGCAGUGGAAACAGCUCUUCCCUACGAAAUGCAGCUUAUUUGUCUUCUUGGCUUACAUGGCGCUCUUUAUUAAUCAAGGGAUAAUGGUGACGGCAUCCCAACGCGCAGAUAACAGUUACAGCUACAAUACCGUCACUGUGGUUCUGCUCUCGGAGGCAACAAAACUCGUUGUUUCGUUUCUACUGUACCUUAGGGA
Penaeus indicus is the source of this 327-nucleotide long non-coding RNA. RefSeq lists it as uncharacterized. The transcript has 2 exons. The record is from RefSeq and is a predicted model, not a curated record. Lineage: Eukaryota; Metazoa; Arthropoda; Malacostraca; Decapoda; Penaeidae.